GAUGAACGCUGGCGGCGUGCCUAAUACAUGCAAGUCGAGCGAACGGACGAGAAGCUUGCUUCUCUGAUGUUAGCGGCGGACGGGUGAGUAACACGUGGAUAACCUACCUAUAAGACUGGGAUAACUUCGGGAAACCGGAGCUAAUACCGGAUAAUAUUUUGAACCGCAUGGUUCAAAAGUGAAAGACGGUCUUGCUGUCACUUAUAGAUGGAUCCGCGCUGCAUUAGCUAGUUGGUAAGGUAACGGCUUACCAAGGCAACGAUGCAUAGCCGACCUGAGAGGGUGAUCGGCCACACUGGAACUGAGACACGGUCCAGACUCCUACGGGAGGCAGCAGUAGGGAAUCUUCCGCAAUGGGCGAAAGCCUGACGGAGCAACGCCGCGUGAGUGAUGAAGGUCUUCGGAUCGUAAAACUCUGUUAUUAGGGAAGAACAUAUGUGUAAGUAACUGUGCACAUCUUGACGGUACCUAAUCAGAAAGCCACGGCUAACUACGUGCCAGCAGCCGCGGUAAUACGUAGGUGGCAAGCGUUAUCCGGAAUUAUUGGGCGUAAAGCGCGCGUAGGCGGUUUUUUAAGUCUGAUGUGAAAGCCCACGGCUCAACCGUGGAGGGUCAUUGGAAACUGGGAAACUUGAGUGCAGAAGAGGAAAGUGGAAUUCCAUGUGUAGCGGUGAAAUGCGCAGAGAUAUGGAGGAACACCAGUGGCGAAGGCGACUUUCUGGUCUGUAACUGACGCUGAUGUGCGAAAGCGUGGGGAUCAAACAGGAUUAGAUACCCUGGUAGUCCACGCCGUAAACGAUGAGUGCUAAGUGUUAGGGGGUUUCCGCCCCUUAGUGCUGCAGCUAACGCAUUAAGCACUCCGCCUGGGGAGUACGACCGCAAGGUUGAAACUCAAAGGAAUUGACGGGGACCCGCACAAGCGGUGGAGCAUGUGGUUUAAUUCGAAGCAACGCGAAGAACCUUACCAAAUCUUGACAUCCUUUGACAACUCUAGAGAUAGAGCUUUCCCCUUCGGGGGACAAAGUGACAGGUGGUGCAUGGUUGUCGUCAGCUCGUGUCGUGAGAUGUUGGGUUAAGUCCCGCAACGAGCGCAACCCUUAAGCUUAGUUGCCAUCAUUAAGUUGGGCACUCUAAGUUGACUGCCGGUGACAAACCGGAGGAAGGUGGGGAUGACGUCAAAUCAUCAUGCCCCUUAUGAUUUGGGCUACACACGUGCUACAAUGGACAAUACAAAGGGCAGCGAAACCGCGAGGUCAAGCAAAUCCCAUAAAGUUGUUCUCAGUUCGGAUUGUAGUCUGCAACUCGACUACAUGAAGCUGGAAUCGCUAGUAAUCGUAGAUCAGCAUGCUACGGUGAAUACGUUCCCGGGUCU
RNAcentral lists this ribosomal RNA (1372 nucleotides) under uncultured bacterium. RNAcentral's name for it is "bacterial SSU rRNA". It matches the Rfam family "Bacterial small subunit ribosomal RNA", at positions 28 to 1381 of the family's 1533-position model. The record is from RNAcentral.